CCUACGGGCGGCAGCAGUGAGGAAUAUUGGUCAAUGGGCUUACGCCUGAACCAGCCAAGUCGCGUGAGGGAAGACUGCCCUAUGGGUUGUAAACCUCUUUUGUCAGGGAGCAAUUGGCGCUACGUGUAGCGGUAUCGAGAGUACCUGAAGAAAAAGCAUCGGCUAACUCCGGGCCAGCAGCCGCGGUAAUACGGAGGAUGCUAGCGUUGUCCGGAUUUAUUGGGUUUAAAGGGUGCGUAGGCGGAAUGCCAAGUCAGCGGUUAAAUCGCGGGGCUCAACCUCGCUCCGCCGUUGAAACUGGCGUUCUGGAGUGGGCGAGAAGUGUGCGGAAUGCGUGGUGUAGCGGUGAAAUGCAUAGAUAUCACGCAGAACUCCGAUUGCGAAGGCAGCAUACCGGCGCCCAACUGACGCUGAAGCACGAAAGCGUGGGUAUCGAACAGGAUUAGAUACCCGAGUAGUC
This 460-nucleotide ribosomal RNA is filed under the name uncultured bacterium. Its description in RNAcentral is "partial 16S ribosomal RNA". It matches the Rfam family "Bacterial small subunit ribosomal RNA", at positions 338 to 795 of the family's 1533-position model. The record is from RNAcentral.